GGGGGUUUUCCCUUUCCCUUGGGGAAUCCGGUGGCCGGUAGGCUAAACGCCAUUUAAGUUCCCCCCGCCCUUGGGGAGUUACGGCCCGCCAUGGGCUAAAAACUCAAAAGAAAAUUGACCGGGGGCCCCGCACAAGUGGGCGGAGCCAUGUGGAUUUAUUUCGAUGCAACGCGAAAGAACCCUUGCCUGGGUUUGACAUGCACAGGACGCUGGUAGAGAUAUCAGUUCCCUUGUGGCCUGUGUGCAGGUGGUGCAUGGCUGUCGUCAGCUCGUGUCGUGAGAUGUUGGGUUAAGUCCCGCAACGAGCGCAACCCUCGUUCGAUGUUGCCAGCGGUUCGGCCGGGGACUCACAGAAGACUGCCGGGGUCAACUCGGAGGAAGGUGGGGAUGACGUCAAGUCAUCAUGCCCCUUAUGUCCAGGGCUUCACGCAUGCUACAAUGGCCGGUACAAAGGGCUGCGAUACCGUGAGGUGGAGCGAAUCCCAAAAAGCCGGUCUCAGUUCGGAUCGGGGUCUGCAACUCGACCCCGUGAAGUUGGAGUCGCUAGUAAUCGCAGAUCAGCAACGCUGCGGUGAAUACGUUCCCGGGCCUUGUACACACCGCCCGUCACGUCAUGAAAGUCGGUAACACCCGAAGCCGGUGGCCUAACCCCUCGGGGAGGGAGCCGUCGAAGGUGGGGCGG
RNAcentral lists this ribosomal RNA (682 nucleotides) under uncultured Actinomycetes bacterium. Its description in RNAcentral is "bacterial SSU rRNA". The stretch from base 72 to 682 matches the Rfam family "Bacterial small subunit ribosomal RNA", at positions 874 to 1470 of the family's 1533-position model. Lineage: Bacteria; Bacillati; Actinomycetota; Actinomycetes. The record is from RNAcentral.